AUUGAACGCUGGCGGCAUGCUUUACACAUGCAAGUCGAACGGCAGCGCGGGCUUCGGCCUGGCGGCGAGUGGCGAACGGGUGAGUAAUGCAUCGGAACGUGCCCAGUCGUGGGGGAUAGCCCGGCGAAAGCCGGAUUAAUACCGCAUACGACCUGAGGGUGAAAGCGGGGGACCGAAAGGCCUCGCGCUAUUGGAGCGGCCGAUGUCGGGUUAGCUAGUUGGUGGGGUAAAGGCUUACCAAGGCGACGAUCCGUAGCUGGUCUGAGAGGACGACCAGCCACACUGGGACUGAGACACGGCCCAGACUCCUACGGGAGGCAGCAGUGGGGAAUUUUGGACAAUGGGGGCAACCCUGAUCCAGCCAUGCCGCGUGCGGGAAGAAGGCCUUCGGGUUGUAAACCGCUUUUGUUCGGGAAGAAAUCCUCUGGGCUAAUACCCCGGGGGGAUGACGGUACCGGAAGAAUAAGCACCGGCUAACUACGUG
RNAcentral lists this ribosomal RNA (484 nucleotides) under uncultured bacterium. Its description in RNAcentral is "partial 16S ribosomal RNA". It matches the Rfam family "Bacterial small subunit ribosomal RNA", at positions 28 to 507 of the family's 1533-position model. The record is from RNAcentral.